This 724-nucleotide ribosomal RNA is filed under the name uncultured Actinomycetes bacterium. RNAcentral's name for it is "bacterial SSU rRNA". It matches the Rfam family "Bacterial small subunit ribosomal RNA", at positions 28 to 866 of the family's 1533-position model. Lineage: Bacteria; Bacillati; Actinomycetota; Actinomycetes. The record is from RNAcentral.
GAUGAACGCUAGCGGGAGGCUUAAUACAUGCAAGUCGAGCGAGCGGCGCACGGGUGAGUAACGCGUACAAACCUACCCUAACUGGGGGAUAGCCUUGGGAAACUGAGAUUAAUACCCCAUGGGAUGGGUGUGCGUCUGAUUAGCUAGUUGGUAGGGUAACGGCCUACCAAGGCUAUGAUCAGUAGGGGGCGUGAGAGCGUGGUCCCCCACACGGGUACUGAGACACGGACCCGACUCCUACGGGAGGCAGCAGUAAGGAAUAUUGGUCAAUGGAGGAAACUCUGAACCAGCUAUCCCGCGUGAAGGAUGAAGGGCUCUGCCUUGUAAACUUCUUUUGUCUGGGGUGACGGUACCAGAAGAAUAAGCACCGGCUAACUCCGUGUCAGCAGCCGCGGUAAUACGGAGGGUGCAAGCGUUAUCCGGAUUUACUGGGUUUAAAGGAUGCGUAGGUGGGUUUGUAAGUCAGUGGUGAAAUCUCCGAGCUUAACUCGGAAACUGCCAUUGAUACUAUAGAUCUUGAAUUAUCUGGAGGUAAGCGGAAUAUGUCAUGUAGCGGUGAAAUGCUUAGAUAUGACAUAGAACACCAAUUGCGAAGGCAGCUUACUACGGAUAUAUUGACACUGAGGCACGAAAGCGUGGGGAUCAAACAGGAUUAGAUACCCUGGUAGUCCACGCCCUAAACGAUGGAUACUCGACAUCAGUGUCUGAGCGAAAGCAUUAAGUA